UUAAUGAGAGUUUGAUCCUGGCUCAGGACGAACGCUGGCGGCGUGCCUAAUACAUGCAAGUAGAACGCUGAGGAUUGGUGCUUGCACUAAUCCAAAGAGUUGCGAACGGGUGAGUAACGCGUAGGUAACCUACCUCAUAGCGGGGGAUAACUAUUGGAAACGAUAGCUAAUACCGCAUGACACUAGAGUACACAUGUACUUAAGUUAAAAGGAGCAAUUGCUUCACUAUGAGAUGGACCUGCGUUGUAUUAGCUAGUUGGUGAGGUAACGGCUCACCAAGGCGACGAUACAUAGCCGACCUGAGAGGGUGAUCGGCCACACUGGGACUGAGACACGGCCCAGACUCCUACGGGAGGCAGCAGUAGGGAAUCUUCGGCAAUGGACGGAAGUCUGACCGAGCAACGCCGCGUGAGUGAAGAAGGUUUUCGGAUCGUAAAGCUCUGUUGUUAGAGAAGAACGGUAAUGGGAGUGGAAAAUCCAUUACGUGACGGUAACUAACCAGAAAGGGACGGCUAACUACGUGCCAGCAGCCGCGGUAAUACGUAGGUCUCGAGCGUUGUCCGGAUUUAUUGGGCGUAAAGCGAGCGCAGGCGGUUCUAUAAGUCUGAAGUAAAAGGCAGUGGCUCAACCAUUGUAUGCUUUGGAAACUGUAGAACUUGAGUGCAGAAGGGGAGAGUGGAAUUCCAUGUGUAGCGGUGAAAUGCGUAGAUAUAUGGAGGAACACCGGUGGCGAAAGCGGCUCUCUGGUCUGUAACUGACGCUGAGGCUCGAAAGCGUGGGGAGCAAACAGGAUUAGAUACCCUGGUAGUCCACGCCGUAAACGAUGAGUGCUAGGUGUUAGGCCCUUUCCGGGGCUUAGUGCCGCAGCUAACGCAUUAAGCACUCCG
This 887-nucleotide ribosomal RNA is filed under the name Streptococcus iniae. RNAcentral's name for it is "bacterial SSU rRNA". It matches the Rfam family "Bacterial small subunit ribosomal RNA", at positions 1 to 871 of the family's 1533-position model. Lineage: Bacteria; Bacillati; Bacillota; Bacilli; Lactobacillales; Streptococcaceae. The record is from RNAcentral.